GUGCUCACUUUGGCAGCAUUAAAAUUAGAACAAUAUGGAGAAGAUUAGCAGGGCCCCUGUGCAAGGAUGACACGAAAAUUCGUGAAGCCUUCCAUAUUUUA
This 101-nucleotide small nuclear RNA is filed under the name Propithecus coquereli (Coquerel's sifaka). Lineage: Eukaryota; Metazoa; Chordata; Mammalia; Primates; Indriidae. The record is from RNAcentral.